CCUACGGGUGGCAGCAGUGAGCAAUAUUGGUCAAUGGGAGAGAUCCUGAACCAGCCAAGCCGCGUGAGGGAAGACGGCCCUAUGGGUUGUAAACCUCUUUUGUCGGGGAACAAAAUCCGGGACGUGUCCCGGACUGCGUGUAUCCGAAGAAAAAGCAUCGGCUAACUCCGUGCCAGCAGCCGCGGUAAUACGGAGGAUGCGAGGUUUAUCCGGAUUUAUUGGGUUAAAAGGGUGAGUAGGCGGUCCGUUAAGUCAGCGGUAAAAUUGCGGGGCUCAACCCCGUCGCGCCGUUGAAACUGGGUGCCUUGAGUUGGCGAGAGGUACGCGGAAUGCGCGGUGUAGCGGUGAAAUGCAUAGAUAUCGCGCAGAACUCCGAUUGCGAAGGCAGCGUACCGGCGCCAAACUGACGCUGAGGCACGAAAGCGUGGGGAUCGAACAGGGUUAGAUACCCCAGUAGUC
RNAcentral lists this ribosomal RNA (459 nucleotides) under uncultured bacterium. Its description in RNAcentral is "partial 16S ribosomal RNA". It matches the Rfam family "Bacterial small subunit ribosomal RNA", at positions 338 to 795 of the family's 1533-position model. The record is from RNAcentral.